This 490-nucleotide ribosomal RNA is filed under the name uncultured bacterium. Its description in RNAcentral is "partial 16S ribosomal RNA". It matches the Rfam family "Bacterial small subunit ribosomal RNA", at positions 30 to 507 of the family's 1533-position model. The record is from RNAcentral.
AUUGAACGCUGGCGGCAGGCCUAACACAUGCAAGUCGAACGGUAACAGGAAACAGCUUGCUGUUUCGCUGACGAGUGGCGGACGGGUGAGUAAUGUCUGGGAAACUGCCUGAUGGAGGGGGAUAACUACUGGAAACGGUAGCUAAUACCGCAUAACGUCGCAAGACCAAAGAGGGGGACCUUCGGGCCUCUUGCCAUCGGAUGUGCCCAGAUGGGAUUAGCUAGUAGGUGGGGUAACGGCUCACCUAGGCGACGAUCCCUAGCUGGUCUGAGAGGAUGACCAGCCACACUGGAACUGAGACACGGUCCAGACUCCUACGGGAGGCAGCAGUGGGGAAUAUUGCACAAAGGGCGCAAGCCUGAUGCAGCCAUGCCGCGUGUAUGAAGAAGGCCUUCGGGUUGUAAAGUACCUUCAGCGGGGAGGAAGGGAGUAAAGUUAAUACCUUUACUCAUUGACGUUACCCGCAGAAGAAGCACCGGCUAACUCCGUG